UGAACGCUGGCGGCAUGCCUUACACAUGCAAGUCGAACGGCAGCGCGGGGCAACCUGGCGGCGAGUGGCGAACGGGUGAGUAAUAUAUCGGAACGUACCCUGGAGUGGGGGAUAACGUAGCGAAAGUUACGCUAAUACCGCAUACGAUCUACGGAUGAAAGUGGGGGAUCGCAAGACCUCAUGCUCGUGGAGCGGCCGAUAUCUGAUUAGCUAGUUGGUAGGGUAAAAGCCUACCAAGGCAUCGAUCAGUAGCUGGUCUGAGAGGACGACCAGCCACACUGGGACUGAGACACGGCCCAGACUCCUACGGGAGGCAGCAGUGGGGAAUUUUGGACAAUGGGCGCAAGCCUGAUCCAGCAAUGCCGCGUGAGUGAAGAAGGCCUUCGGGUUGUAAAGCUCUUUUGUCAGGGAAGAAACGGUGGGAGCUAAUAUCUCUCACUAAUGACGGUACCUGAAGAAUAAGCACCGGCUAACUACGUGCCAGCAGCCGCGGUAAUACGUAGGGUGCAAGCGUUAAUCGGAAUUACUGGGCGUAAAGCGUGCGCAGGCGGUUUUGUAAGUCUGAUGUGAAAUCCCCGGGCUCAACCUGGGAAUUGCAUUGGAGACUGCAAGGCUAGAGUUUGGCAGAGGGGGGUAGAAUUCCACGUGUAGCAGUGAAAUGCGUAGAUAUGUGGAGGAACACCGAUGGCGAAGGCAGCCCCCCUGGGUCAAGACUGACGCUCAUGCACGAAAGCGUGG
RNAcentral lists this ribosomal RNA (738 nucleotides) under uncultured bacterium. RNAcentral's name for it is "bacterial SSU rRNA". It matches the Rfam family "Bacterial small subunit ribosomal RNA", at positions 30 to 764 of the family's 1533-position model. The record is from RNAcentral.